Molecule: unclassified non-coding RNA, 366 nt
Filed under: Hevea brasiliensis (rubber tree)
Lineage: Eukaryota; Viridiplantae; Streptophyta; Magnoliopsida; Malpighiales; Euphorbiaceae
Source: RNAcentral
GUUUAGAAUUCCUCUUUCAAACUAGAUAUAGUAUUAAUUGUUCCAUGUUACUUGAACAGAUUUUUUUUAAUAUUGUGUAAAGUUACUGGUAGUCUCUAGCUUGUCUUGAUGCACCAUUAUGUAAUUUUUGGGGGCGUUUCUUAUUCUCUCUCUUUUAGAGUCCUUUCAUUUUAAGUUGGGAAGCAUUUUAAAUGAGAUAUAAUAUUCAUCAUUGGAGUUAUGUUUUGUGUAGCAUUAUAGUAUAUCUUUGUUUGGUUGCUCGAUUUUUCCUUCUCUAUUGAGACCAUGAUGCUGAUCUUCUUUUGUUUUUGUUAGUAUCUUGAUUGGGUUCCUCUUGUUGUGUUAUUGAUCAGAAGUUUUAAUUUA